This 253-nucleotide ribosomal RNA is filed under the name uncultured bacterium. RNAcentral describes it as "partial 16S ribosomal RNA". It matches the Rfam family "Bacterial small subunit ribosomal RNA", at positions 524 to 776 of the family's 1533-position model. The record is from RNAcentral.
UACAGAGGUCCCAAGCGUUGUUCGGAUUCACUGGGCGUAAAGGGUGCGUAGGUGGUCGGGUAAGUCUGAUGUGAAAUCUCCGAGCUUAACUCGGAAACUGCAUCGGAUACUAUUCGGCUCGAGGGUUGGAGGGGGGACUGGAAUACUUGGUGUAGCAGUGAAAUGCGUAGAUAUCAAGUGGAACACCAGUGGCGAAGGCGAGUCCCUGGACAACUCCUGACACUGAGGCACGAAAGCUAGGGGAGCAAACAGG